AAGUGGGGAUGACGUCAAAUCAUCAUGCCCCUUAUGACCUGGGCUACACACGUGCUACAAUGGUUGGUACAACGAGUUGCGAGUCGGUGACGGCGAGCUAAUCUCUUAAAGCCAAUCUCCAGUUCGGAUUGUAGGCUGCAACUCGCCUACAUGAAGUCGGAAUCGCUAGUAAUCGCGGAUCAGCACGCCGCGGUGAAUACGUUCCCGGGCCUU
Molecule: ribosomal RNA, 213 nt
Filed under: uncultured Streptococcus sp.
Lineage: Bacteria; Bacillati; Bacillota; Bacilli; Lactobacillales; Streptococcaceae
Description: partial 16S ribosomal RNA
Rfam family: Bacterial small subunit ribosomal RNA
Source: RNAcentral